UUCCGUAGGGUGAACNUGCGG
RNAcentral lists this ribosomal RNA (21 nucleotides) under Oedogonium geniculatum. RNAcentral's name for it is "partial 18S ribosomal RNA". Lineage: Eukaryota; Viridiplantae; Chlorophyta; Chlorophyceae; Oedogoniales; Oedogoniaceae. The record is from RNAcentral.